RNAcentral lists this ribosomal RNA (253 nucleotides) under uncultured bacterium. Its description in RNAcentral is "partial 16S ribosomal RNA". It matches the Rfam family "Bacterial small subunit ribosomal RNA", at positions 524 to 776 of the family's 1533-position model. The record is from RNAcentral.
UACGAAGGGGGCUAGCGUUGCUCGGAAUGACUGGGCGUAAAGCGCGUGUAGGCGGCUUUGCAAGUCGGGUGUGAAAGCCCUCAGCUUAACUGAGGAAGUGCGCCCGAAACUGCUUAGCUUGAGUGCCGGAGAGGAUGGCGGAAUUCCCCAAGUAGAGGUGAAAUUCGUAGAUAUGGGGAGGAACACCGGUGGCGAAGGCGGCCAUCUGGACGGUAACUGACGCUGAGACGCGAAAGCGUGGGUAGCAAACAGG